CAGCCGCCGCGGGAAUACGAAGGGUGCAAGCGUUAAUCGGAAUUACUGGGCGUAAAGCGUGCGUAGGCGGUUUCUUAAGUCUGCUGUGAAAUCCCCGGGCUCAACCUGGGAAUGGCAAUGGAUACUGGGAAGCUAGAGUGUGUCAGAGGAUGGUGGAAUUCCCGGUGUAGCGGUGAAAUGCGUAGAGAUCGGGAGGAACAUCAGUGGCGAAGGCGGCCAUCUGGGACAACACUGACGCUGAGGCACGAAAGCGUGGGGAGCAAACAGGAUUAGAUACCCGAGUAGUCCCUGUCUCUUAUAC
RNAcentral lists this ribosomal RNA (301 nucleotides) under uncultured bacterium. RNAcentral's name for it is "partial 16S ribosomal RNA". It matches the Rfam family "Bacterial small subunit ribosomal RNA", at positions 509 to 807 of the family's 1533-position model. The record is from RNAcentral.